GACGUAGGGCGCGAGCGUUGUCCGGAUUUAUUGGGCGUAAAGAGCUCGUAGGCGGCCUGUUGCGUCCGCUGUGAAAGCCCGGGGCUUAACCCCGGGUCGGCAGUGGAUACGGGCAGGCUAGAGGUAGGUAGGGGAGAAUGGAAUUCCCGGUGUAGCGGUGAAAUGCGCAGAUAUCGAGAGGAACACCGGUGGCGAAGGCGGCCAACUGGACGAGUACUGACGCUGAGACACGAAAGCGUGGGGAGCAAACAGG
RNAcentral lists this ribosomal RNA (253 nucleotides) under uncultured bacterium. RNAcentral's name for it is "partial 16S ribosomal RNA". It matches the Rfam family "Bacterial small subunit ribosomal RNA", at positions 524 to 776 of the family's 1533-position model. The record is from RNAcentral.